This 492-nucleotide ribosomal RNA is filed under the name uncultured bacterium. RNAcentral describes it as "partial 16S ribosomal RNA". It matches the Rfam family "Bacterial small subunit ribosomal RNA", at positions 29 to 507 of the family's 1533-position model. The record is from RNAcentral.
AGUGAACGCUGGCGGUAGGCCUAACACAUGCAAGUCGAACGGCAGCACAGUAAGAUCUUGCUCUUACGGGUGGCGAGUGGCGGACGGGUGAGGAAUACAUCGGAAUCUACUUUUUCGUGGGGGAUAACGUAGGGAAACUUACGCUAAUACCGCAUACGACCUACGGGUGAAAGCAGUGGAUCUUCGGACCUUGCGCGAUUGAAUGAGCCGAUGUCGGAUUAGCUAGUUGGCGGGGUAAAGGCCCACCAAGGCGACGAUCCGUAGCUGGUCUGAGAGGAUGAUCAGCCACACUGGAACUGAGACACGGUCCAGACUCCUACGGGAGGCAGCAGUGGGGAAUAUUGGACAAUGGGCGCAAGCCUGACCCAGCCAUACCGCGUGGGUGAAGAAGGCCUUCGGGUUGUAAAGCCCUUUUGUUGGGAAAGAAAAGCAGCAGGUUAAUACCCCGCUGUUCUGACGGUACCCAAAGAAUAAGCACCGGCUAACUUCGUG